ACGGGGUAGGAAUACGUAGGUAACGUACCCUCGGGGCGAGGACAGCCACGGGAAACUGUGGGUAAUACUCGAUAAACUUCCUGACCAUUAUCGGAUGGGAAGCAAUGGGUGUGAUUCCACCUGAGGAGCGGCUUACGCAGUAUCAGCUAGUUGGUGAGGUAACGGCUCACCAAGGCUACGACGCUUAGGGGGUGUGAGAGCAUGGCCCCCACCACUGGCACUGAGACACUGGCCAGACACCUACGGGUGGCUGCAGUCGAGAAUCUUCGGCAAUGGACGCAAGUCUGACCGAGCGACGCCGCGUGUGGGAUGAGGGCCUUCGGGUUGUAAACCACUGUCAGAGGGGAUGAAGUGUACGAGAGUUAUCUCUUGUAUUUGACAGAGCCUCAGAGGAAGCACGGGCUAAGUUCGUGCCAGCAGCCGCGGUAAUACGAACUGUGCGAACGUUAUUCGGAAUCACUGGGCUUAAAGGGUGCGUAGGCGGUUAUCUAAGUCAGGUGUGAAAUCUCUCGGCUCAACCGGGACACUGCGCUUGAAACUGGAUGACUGGAGUGAUGCAGGGGUGUGUGGAACUUCCGGUGGAGCGGUGAAAUGUGUAGA
RNAcentral lists this ribosomal RNA (600 nucleotides) under uncultured bacterium. Its description in RNAcentral is "bacterial SSU rRNA". It matches the Rfam family "Bacterial small subunit ribosomal RNA", at positions 102 to 694 of the family's 1533-position model. The record is from RNAcentral.